Molecule: ribosomal RNA, 486 nt
Filed under: Candida albicans
Lineage: Eukaryota; Fungi; Ascomycota; Pichiomycetes; Serinales; Debaryomycetaceae
Description: LSU rRNA
Rfam family: Eukaryotic large subunit ribosomal RNA
Source: RNAcentral
UCAAAUUUGAAAUCUGGCGUCUUUGGCGUCCGAGUUGUAAUUUGAAGAAGGUAUCUUUGGGCCCGGCUCUUGUCUAUGUUCCUUGGAACAGGACGUCACAGAGGGUGAGAAUCCCGUGCGAUGAGAUGACCCGGGUCUGUGUAAAGUUCCUUCGACGAGUCGAGUUGUUUGGGAAUGCAGCUCUAAGUGGGUGGUAAAUUCCAUCUAAAGCUAAAUAUUGGCGAGAGACCGAUAGCGAACAAGUACAGUGAUGGAAAGAUGAAAAGAACUUUGAAAAGAGAGUGAAAAAGUACGUGAAAUUGUUGAAAGGGAAGGGCUUGAGAUCAGACUUGGUAUUUUGCAUGUUGCUCUCUCGGGGGCGGCCGCUGCGGUUUACCGGGCCAGCAUCGGUUUGGAGCGGCAGGAUAAUGGCGGAGGAAUGUGGCACGGCUUCUGCUGUGUGUUAUAGCCUCUGACGAUACUGCCAGCCUAGACCGAGGACUGCGG